This 251-nucleotide ribosomal RNA is filed under the name uncultured prokaryote. RNAcentral's name for it is "partial 16S ribosomal RNA". It matches the Rfam family "Bacterial small subunit ribosomal RNA", at positions 525 to 775 of the family's 1533-position model. The record is from RNAcentral.
ACGUAGGGGGCGAGCGUUGUCCGGAAUGACUGGGCGUAAAGGGGGCGUAGGCGGCCAGAUCAGUGGUGGGUGAAAACGCGGGGCUCAACCUUGCGGGGUCCCAUCAAACAGUCUGGCUUGAGGGCGCAAGAGGGCAGUGGAAUUCCCGGUGUAGCGGUGAAAUGCGUAGAAAUCGGGAGGAACACCAGUGGCGAAGGCGACUGCCUGGGGCGUACCUGACGCUGAGGCCCGAAAGCUGGGGGAGCAAACAG